GAGACUCUGUGCGCGUGCAUAUCAAUAAGCGGAGGAAAAGAAACUAACAAGGAUUCCCCUAGUAACGGCGAGUGAAGCGGGAAGAGCUCAAAUUUGAAAUCUUAAAGGUUUUCCCUUGACGAAUUGUAGUUUAAAGAAGUGUUUUCUGUUGAGGUUUCGGUAAAAGUUCUUUGGAAUAGGACAUCAUAGAGGGUGAGAAUCCCGUAUUUGACCAUUACUUUUCCAGCUGUGUGAUACACUUUCAAAGAGUCGGAUUGUUUGGGAAUGCAGUCCAAAAUGGGUGGUAAAUUUCAUCUAAAGCUAAAUAUUGGCGAGAGACCGAUAGCGAACAAGUACCGUGAGGGAAAGAUGAAAAGAACUUUGAAAAGAGAGUUAAACAGUACGUGAAAUUGUCAAAAGGGAAGCGUUUGACACCAGUGUUGUUUUUCGAAAAUCAAUUACGAAUAGUUUUUGAUUCUAAGUAGUAUUGACUUCAUCAGCUUGCUGCUUUCUUCUCAGAAAUUAUUGAAUGCACUUUUCAGUUAACAAGUCAACAUCAAUUUCUUUUGUUGUAAAAGGGUAAGAGGAAGGUGGCUUACGCUUCGGCGUAAGUGUUUAUAGCCUUUUACCUCUGCAAUCGGAGAGAUUGAGGACAGCAGCGUAGACUCUUCGGGGUUAGAUACACUUGUGCUAAGCUAUAGCCUUGUAUAGACAACUUGUUGACUAUGCUCAGUCAUGUAGCUUACUCGCUUGUGCUAUUUUACCUACGCUUAGGAUGUUGACAGCAGUAUAGACUGU
This 777-nucleotide ribosomal RNA is filed under the name uncultured Neocallimastigales. RNAcentral's name for it is "partial large subunit ribosomal RNA". It matches the Rfam family "Eukaryotic large subunit ribosomal RNA", at positions 23 to 637 of the family's 3401-position model. The record is from RNAcentral. Lineage: Eukaryota; Fungi; Neocallimastigomycota; Neocallimastigomycetes; Neocallimastigales.